CCAGCCUUGGUCGCAGUCCGCUCCAAUUACAUCCUCAAAAUGCACUCUCCUUCGCAACCCCCAGCAUCCUUAGAACAAUCAAUAAUUUUAAUUUUUUCAGAUGCCACCCAAACCGGCACCGGUCCCCUGCCUUAGUCCUACGCUUUUUCUCCUUUCGUCCUUCUCCGUCUGUUCAUUUUGGUUCCAAACGAAGCCAAAUGUCGCUGAAAAAAGGCUGACGGGGGAAUUAAUUGCCCGUCUCAUCUACAACUCCAGUUGAUUCCCUCGUUUGUUUGUCCGUUUGUCGCCUCGCUCGUUUCCCUCGUUUCGCUCUUGUGUCUGCUGUGUCGUUCCUCUCUCGCCCUCUCUCUGUCUGGCGCUUGGGGUGCGCUUUCCUCUCUUUUCCCCCUUCUUGCAACGUAAUUAGCAUGCAGAUAUGCAUCGCCUGAUUCGCAAGUCAAAUCGCCUAUCCAUUUUUUUUUUUUUUCCCCCCCACCUCUCUGGAUCUCUGCUCCAUUUCAGGGCUGUGAUUGUUCUUAUUCAGUUUGUUUGAUCUGGUAGACAAGCAUGCAUAUCCUCUCUCAGCCUAGUCAGACCCAAAAAACACAAAUAUGAUAGGAGAAGGAUUCAGUUUAUUUAUUUAUUUAUAUUCUUAUCUGCUGAUGUCAGAGGUUUGCACAGUUUUCUCCUACUGCAAGCUGCCCAUCUUCAGAUGCACAAAAAGAAAGAAAAAAUGAAAUACCCUCAUAGUUUUGUCCAUUUUCAAAACACCUGCAUGCUGUACAACAUUUCUGAGCCCCUAUGCCUCAGACUUCCUUAUAUUAUACCACCACAGCUGGCUUUACGUGAUGCCUGCUUGCCUUUUUUGUUUUGGAUGCCUCUUACGUUGCUGUAUGGAGUGUAUUCAUAUUAAGAAGAAGUAGCAACAAUCCAAAGUGUUUGUUACACUCAUUUCCUCCCUCCCUUACACUGAGCAGAUAUGCUGGUGUGGGAAAGUGAUGGCUCAGCACAUUUCAAUAUAAACGUUGUCUUCCUUUAUCUGGCUGCCACUCGUGUCCCUGUCACUAAAAAGUAUCCUCCGGCAGCACUUUUUAUUCAGGAGCAGGGAGGGGAAAGUGGCUCCAACUAUAAUGCAGUUGUGAGAAACAUGGCUUGAGAUGAGUUAUUAGAUCUAUAUUUAAAGACAUUUAAAAAAAAACUUGACCAUGUUGUAUAAGUAGUUGGAUGAUUGAUCCAUGUUUUGAUACGGGCUCUCAUAGCUACAAUACUGUUAAACAGUUUAGAUAAUUAUAUUUAAACGUAAUUCCCUUGCAGAUUAAACAGCAGAUCACUGGCUCUACUGAGCUAAAGCACCUAAAACAGCCAAAAACGCAAAUUUAGUUGAGUCCUCAGAUGUAAUCCCAGUACAUAAAUGGACAUCAACAAGUGCCAGAUAAAAAUACAGAAGGGUGUUUCUCUGCAUAGUCAUGGUGUUGUUGGCACUAGGCCAGUCUUUCAGUCUGUUCCUUCCCUCCACCCCUAUUUUUCUGUCUUUCUCCUUCUCCUUGAAGCUAAUCUGCUUACAUCUGCCAUUAUUGAGUGGCUGCCAUUAACAUGGCAUAUCAGAAGCAGGCGCCCUUUUACCCCUCUCUCCUCCUCCUCCUUCUCACACCCCCUUUCAUCGCGCACCAGAUUCCGCGCCCACUUUGCCACAGAGUUCUCUAAAAAGGGUCCAGGUAGCAUGUUGCCCUAUCUUCUUUUGGAAUCGACCAGGAGACAUUGUAACUCAGCAAAAACCACACACAAAACAAUAAGAAAAAAAAGCCUUGAAAAUGAAGAUGCACAUCUCAGAUCCAGCGUGGAGCCUCCUGUACUUUCCACAUCCACAGGCUAGGUGUUGUUGCUGCUGCUCCAGCUCUCUCCUUCCACUGGAUAGUUUUUGAGAUCAAAGGCUAAGACGCAAACCCUCCUCCAACCUUGGAACUUCCUUGGCUUGUGGGCUAAUCACAGGACCCUGGUAUGUGUGUCAAACCCAUACAGUCUCUCUCACACGCAUAAAACAGAAACAAACAUGGAUGCUGCAGAGUUUUUUUUUUUUUUCCUCCCAGAGCUCCCUGCCAUCUCGUCUGCACUGCUGCCUCGGAGGAACUGAGCAUACACCGGGAUCUAGCAGGGACUUCCUCACACUUCCAUGCGCUGGAUUUAAUUUGCACGUGCACUCUGCAGUUGUUUGGGGGGGGCUUGGGAAAAGUGAAUAAUCAAUUGGGUAUUGAUUUCUUGUACGAUUUUGUAGAUUCCAAAGGCAAAGACAAAGAGGGUAGCUUAAGGAGAGUCGCUACGAGCGAGAGGAGGCGCAAAUUAGCCAAUAAACAUAGACGGCGGAAUAAACAAAGGCGAACGAAUGAGCCGCUCAUCACUGCAACACGCUUCCGUCUUUUGCUUGUUUUUUUAUUGUUUCUGUUCCCUCCUCCAGGGGAAGAAACACGGAGUGCAACGCCGGUUUUCUAUGGAGACGAGGAGAUGGCAAAUGGGCAAAUAAGGGUUAAAAGCGAAAGCUGCAGGAGGAGAUAUAGUGACACGAGGACAUGAAGGCAAGAGCUGCAGAGAAGAAUUAAGAGCUAUUAUUCCACUAAAGGAGCGGUUUGUAUAUGCAAACGAGACAGACAAGGAAGAGGAAGCGAGGGAAGACGACUUUUUAACCACUGAGAUAUACCUUGGAGUUCACUACAACGGAUAAAGCAAUCACAUCACAACAACUAGACUUUUCCUGAUAACCGUAGAGGAGAAGCGAUCGGGAAACGGCGAACGAGAGAACGACAAUCAGACAUGCACCUUGAUUCCCUAUUAUGCCCGUCUGCGCAUAUUGAUGGGAUGCUCCGUGGAUGAUAAUUACCUUUUGGAAUAUCGAAUGGCGAAAUGAGCCUAAAUGAGGAACGACGACGGAACAAGAAGAAAGGGGAGAAAAAAAAAAAAAAAAACAGAAGUAGCGAUGGUAUGCAAACGGCGCUAAUAAUAUUCAGAGCGCUGAGUGUGUGUCAUCUGCAUGAUGACAACGGCCAAUUAUAAAGAACGAUUCGCUCUCUGGCACAGAUAAGUAGGAGAAAAGGGAAAAUGGCUGAAGAGGAGGGGUAAGCGAAAAGAACUUUCCCGUCGAUUUCUUCUUAAUUCGCCAUUAAUAUUUGCCGACUCUGCACGCUAUGGAAUUACA
Molecule: long non-coding RNA, 3166 nt
Organism: Fundulus heteroclitus (mummichog)
Lineage: Eukaryota; Metazoa; Chordata; Actinopteri; Cyprinodontiformes; Fundulidae
Exons: 2
Source: RefSeq, a predicted model, not a curated record